This 649-nucleotide ribosomal RNA is filed under the name Ralstonia sp. B0665. RNAcentral's name for it is "bacterial SSU rRNA". It matches the Rfam family "Bacterial small subunit ribosomal RNA", at positions 15 to 653 of the family's 1533-position model. Lineage: Bacteria; Pseudomonadati; Pseudomonadota; Betaproteobacteria; Burkholderiales; Burkholderiaceae. The record is from RNAcentral.
GAUCCUGGCUCAGAUUGAACGCUGGCGGCAUGCCUUACACAUGCAAGUCGAACGGCAGCAUGAUCUAGCUUGCUAGAUUGAUGGCGAGUGGCGAACGGGUGAGUAAUACAUCGGAACGUGCCCUGUAGUGGGGGAUAACUAGUCGAAAGAUUAGCUAAUACCGCAUACGACCUGAGGGUGAAAGUGGGGGACCGCAAGGCCUCAUGCUAUAGGAGCGGCCGAUGUCUGAUUAGCUAGUUGGUGGGGUAAAGGCCCACCAAGGCGACGAUCAGUAGCUGGUCUGAGAGGACGAUCAGCCACACUGGGACUGAGACACGGCCCAGACUCCUACGGGAGGCAGCAGUGGGGAAUUUUGGACAAUGGGCGAAAGCCUGAUCCAGCAAUGCCGCGUGUGUGAAGAAGGCCUUCGGGUUGUAAAGCACUUUUGUCCGGAAAGAAAUGGCUCUGGUUAAUACCUGGGGUCGAUGACGGUACCGGAAGAAUAAGGACCGGCUAACUACGUGCCAGCAGCCGCGGUAAUACGUAGGGUCCAAGCGUUAAUCGGAAUUACUGGGCGUAAAGCGUGCGCAGGCGGUUGUGCAAGACCGAUGUGAAAUCCCCGAGCUAAACUUGGGAAUUGCAUGGGUGACUGCACGGCUAGAGUGUGUCA